GAUGAACGCUGGCGGCGUGCCUAAUACAUGCAAGUCGAGCGGUAAGGCCCUUCGGGGUACACGAGCGGCGGGACGGCUGAGUAACGCGUGGGAACAUGCCCCAAAGUGAGGGAUAACGCACCGAAAGGUGUGCUAAUACCGCAUAUGGUCUUCGGAUUAAAGGAUUUAUCCGCUUUGGGAGUGGCCCGCGUACGAUUAGAUUGUUGGUGAGGUAACGGCUCACCAAGUCGACGAUCGUUAACUGGUCUGAGAGGAUGAUCAGUCAGACUGGAACUGAGACACGGUCCAGACUCCUACGGGAGGCAGCAGUAAGGAAUCUUCCACAAUGGGCGAAAGCCUGAUGGAGCAACGCCGCGUGCAGGAUGAAGGCCCUCGGGUCGUAAACUGCUUUUAUGAGUGAAGAAUAUGACGGUAACUCAUGAAUAAGCACCGGCUAACUACGUGCCAGCAGCCGCGGUAAU
This 461-nucleotide ribosomal RNA is filed under the name uncultured bacterium. RNAcentral describes it as "bacterial SSU rRNA". It matches the Rfam family "Bacterial small subunit ribosomal RNA", at positions 28 to 524 of the family's 1533-position model. The record is from RNAcentral.